AUAUAAUAACCUAAUGUAAAUAUUUCCGUUCUAUUUAUUAUUUUUGUUCUCAAUGUUAAUUUAUUUUCUAUUUGUAAUUAUUUAUGUUCAUUGUUAAAUUCACUUGCAUCCCAUAGUCAUUUAUGUUUGAGAUAUUCAGUGUCCCCAUUUCCAAUAAAAUGCACUACUUCAAAUCCGCAUAGCUUGCAUUCAAGUCGCCUUCAUUAAUUAAAGCGUAUGCAAUCAUUCCCACUCCGCUAUAAAACCCGAGGGUCAAUCCGAGCAUUGCUCUCUUUUAAAAAGUAUAAGAGUCCAAAGAUAAAUUAAGCGAGACAGGUCAUUCAGACGAAAAGGGAAGCGAAAGAGAUAGCGCUUUAAUCGGUUCACAUUCGUGGUUGAUGAGAAUCGUCGUUUGAUCAAGUCGUGCAAUUACUUCGGUAAUUUCACGUACUUCCGGUCACGAAGCAAUAAGUCCUCACUUAUUCUGAGGGCUUCAAGAACUUCUACUCGUCCAUUCUGACCUGGACCGUGGAAGAGGCGAGAGUGCGUGAUAAUUGUUUAGUGUCGCGGUGUGUUUUAUUUGUGUAGUCAAAGUUUAACGACCUUUGUCAAGGGUUACGUGCGGUCAAGUUGUGUGUGCGAUUGUGAAUAGAAAAAGCCGUUCGACGGCUUUUUAUUUAGGAUUCGCUUCUAGCGAUCCACGGCCCAUACUCGGCACACCGCAUCCACCAGUCAAACGCGACUCUCGACCCCACGCUUCAGCGCACAGAAGUCCCGGUUUGAGGGGAAAGCCGGAAGGGACUAUCGUCCGACAGAGUGGCCAGCGAAAGCCUUAUUCUUAGCUACGACCCGUAGCGUGACACCACCAAGCCUCCGACGAUCCCCAUCGUCGUCAUCUGCGCCAUCUUUAGCCGGCGCGCGUUUCAGUACCAGCUCGGGACCAACCACCGUCUGGGAAUUCCCGUUGCGCAGCGACACAGCGUUUUUCGACCAAGCGUCAUCGUAGUCCACGAGUAAACUCCACCAUCGCCGCAUUUGGCACGGUUGCCGCAAUAACAUCGUUUCGUCGGCCGCCGCCGAUAAAUUCUGCUUUACCGUCAGCAUUCGUCCGCUGCCGGACAAAGGGUACCGUGAGUACAAAACAAGCCAAAAUAAAUAACAAUACGCAUGCGUUAAACUCCACACACUAAUCCCGAGCUCGAAGAUCGACGAUGGUCGAUAGUAGAAGUUAGACGUCGAUAGAAGCCAGA
Armigeres subalbatus is the source of this 1229-nucleotide long non-coding RNA. RefSeq lists it as uncharacterized. The record is from RefSeq and is a predicted model, not a curated record. The transcript is spliced from 3 exons. NCBI's taxonomy places the organism in Eukaryota, Metazoa, Arthropoda, Insecta, Diptera, Culicidae.